CGCAUCCCUGCUAUCGAGGUCUCGCACCAGCGUUCUCUCUCUCGCCGUUCGCAUUCUUUCUGUGCGCCUGCCCCAACACUCGAAUCUUUUCACGCCGCCAUCGCGUUUGGACCCCCCCCUUCCCUCCCCUUCCAUCUGCCUAGAAACGAACGACUCACGCAUACACGCGCACACGCACGCGUACGCCAACGCUCAGGCUUUGGCUACCGUGAUUUUCAUACACUGGGCUUGCCCGCACGCCCACUCGCAUUCGUAUCCUCUGCUCUUUACCGCGAAGAUCGGCGUAUAUCUUUCCGUUGCUCUGUCUCCCUCCCGUUUUCUCGCAUCAUCUUUCCGUUGUGGUUUCGUCUGUUCCGUCGGUGCCGUUCACGCUGCUACCUCUUGCGGUUCAUCAGUGUAAGCGAGGACGCUCACACGAAUACAACAAACAAGAGCCGCCCUCGGGCCUGCGCCCUCUCCCCUCUCCAUUUCUUUCCCUCUGCGGUUCAGGCCCGCGUUUUGCUCGACUUUGUCUCAUCGGCCUCUCCCCACGUGUUUUCUUUUACGUUACGUUUCGCUAUCGUUUAUCGCUUUUCUUUCCCUUUUUCUUUUCCUGCUGCUGCUCAUCUACGCAGCCACCCACCUCCUCACUCGCCAUCUCUCCCACUUGUACUUUUCUUCGACUCGCUCUCUCUCUAACUCUGUCAGAGCACAUUAGCAGGCAAACGCAUGCGCCACAAUGAAGAUCCCUCUUCAGUCUACGCUUUUUGUUUGCCUGUUUGGCACGUUGUCCGCACUCGUCGCAUCGGUGCUCAUCUUGGGAUCUGCUGACAUGUCGAGUGUGCGGGCAAGCCAGCGAAUGGCACGCAUGUGCGGUAAUCUUGGAUCCUGCAUCCGUAUCCACUCUGGUCCGAUCGAUUCUAUUCUCAUCGGCGACAUUGACUUUGACCGCGACACCGUGGGUGACGUUAUCAAGCGCAUCCCGCCCUGGUUCGGCAGUCAGACCCGCCCGCUUGCCCUCACUGUGCACAAUGUGCCGUUAAAGGAGGAGUCGACACUGCGCGCGCAAGGGCUGAUGGCCGCCUCUUACAUUUGCCUUGCCUCGAUGAAGGAGUUGCGCGUCGAUACGGAGACGUGAAUGCUGCGCUCUGCAGUGGCCGGGACGAUAAGCACCGCAAGACGCUUGGUUGUGUGUCUGUCAAGUGACACAAAAGGCGGUUGCAUCCUAUUUCUUUUUUUUUCCGUGUGUGUGCGUGCGUGGUGGCGCUCUUCUCUCUGCGUUUUCUUUCGGCUUCAUGGUGGAGCUUUUUUUUUCUUGGUCUACUGACGCUUUCAUCGUUCUCUGCCCCCUGACGACGGGAGAGGGAGGAGGCGGGGCCGUGGGGGGGGGUGAGAGCGAUGUAUCGCUACGGAUGCUGGCGUUCAGGCUCCGGAUAGCGUUGCGUCGGAGAGCGCUGCGAGCGUGCACACGCUUGUACCAUCCAUGUGAUGGGCAGAGCGUCAGCGUGACUGGAACGUAUCCCACCGCCGACCCUCACUGCGUAGUGGUGUGGGGAACCUGAGCGCCACCGCGAAGGACGCGCUACGUGGCGACCGGCACUGUGGGAGCGGCUGUGAUGCGAUGACCGAGUCCGCGCAUUAGCAGCAGCGCAUGUGCCGACGGCCGCUUCUCACCAUGUGGAGGGGCCCCGUGCCAAGGCCGCCGAUUGGGUGAGUGGCGUUGUGCUUCGCGUUGUACGGCAGAGUGAAAACGCGAAAGCACAGCUGGUGCUCCGUGUGUGCCAGGGUGUGUGCGCUGUCUCUCUGUGCUCGACGGCCGUAACGGCCAUGUCUCACGAGGACAACGCCGACUCACCUUGUCUCCUGCCCCUUCCCCCGCUUAUAUGGCGUCGGCCUUUCGAGUAAGAACCCGCUUUUGUAGUUUUGUUUAUUUCUGUGUCAUCGGUCGAGUAUGAGAGGCGGGUGCAGCUGCCUCCCUCCCUCCCUUCCCUACCGCGCCUCCCCGGGCAGCCCGACGACUGCUGACUUUGCUUAUAAUGUGUUCAUGCGUGCGUGCUUGUCGCGUGUCCGUGUUUCCUCCGCUUGCGGUAGUUUUAUCGGUGUUGCCGUUGUGCCUUUCCUUGUUGAACCCACCCCACCGCCCGCGCAGUCUGUAUCCAUGUAUCGGAUAUGUCCCGAAUGUGCACUGGGAGCUGCGUGUCAUGCCUCUUCCUCACCCUCACUCCUACGCAGAGCCAUCCGCCAUUUGUCGUCAGCACUUCUCGGCAACGAGAAGCCUCGGUAGGCCAAGCGCACAAAAAAGGGCGUUGAGCGGCGCCGCAUGGGAAGACGUUAGCUGCUUUGAGCAGCUGUGACCACUCACAUAGUGGCAAGCGCUCAAAGGACUGCAGGAAGGGACGCUUGCUGAGUCCACGUCUUACGCCAUGAUGAGCUUCCCUACUCUUUUUUUUGGCGAGGAGGAGUGGAGGUGUGUGUGGUGCGGCACGUCGGCGACACUCCGCAACAAGAGCAUGAACAACGACAAAGAUAAUAGUGGACCCGCUUCACACUUCAUCUCUAUACAGUUAUAUGCGCUGUCGACUUGUUUUUACCUAUGAUUUUCUAAUUGUCAAGUUCCCGAAGGAAUGCAUGUCAUCCUCCCCUUCCUUCUCCCCCCCCCCAUGUCUCUAUGGGGCACCAAAGCUUUCGCUUUUACGAGUGCUUGACUUCUUUUGUUACACCGCUUUUUUUUUCGACCAUUUCGCCUCUAUCCUCCUCUCCCUCUCCCUGUGCAAGUGCCGGUGUGUGCUCGUUGCGUGGCUUAAUCCGCAAAAAUCGCAUCAACAGUGGAGCGAAGGAACGAAAAUCACAGUGCUGUGGUUGGUGUGGACGGGCUGAUGACGUUGCCGUUACCCUUGCUUCUGCCGCGCUCUCGUGGUCUACUCCACUGCUUGUGUUAUCCGACCUGUCACUGAUCUCGAUCUAGCAGGGAUCUGUGUCCUCCAGAGCUAUGCACACCCGCAAGCACCGUCUUUUUUUGUUUGCGCCGUACCCGAAGGCUUACUAUCGUCUUGCUCCCUGCCUUUUGAACGGUGAAGGAGAACCCGUCUCGGUUCAUGGUGAGGCGCGAGCGAAAGAGGAGUUGGGAGAGAGGGUGAGGGUGCGAGACUCAGACGAGGGGUACAGAUGGGAAAAAAAAGUUCCUUGUCGGACCGCCCCUCUCACGCCUUAUCCCUUUUAAAAGGGAAAGUUUGCGUUUCCUGCUUUGUUUUUCGUUUUUUUUUAAGUUCUUCAAAACAGUUUUUGUGUGUGUUUGUACGUGCGUGAGGAACUGCCAUUCUCUCUAUCGUCACCACGCUCCCGUUCCGGUAAGCGAGUGUGGAGGUGUUGUGAGCCCACUCGCCCUAGCCAGCGCCAUCUUGGUUACAACUCGCUUGUCGUUACGCUCUCGCCUUUUCUUUUUUACUUCACGGCCGUCAAAGAUGCUCAGUCCUUCGAUGUCGGGGUGUAACGGUCUGUAUAGGUCCAUGGACACCUAUGUGUGCGUGCAUGUUAUUCAUUCUCGGACCUCCUUCCGUUCCACCGUUGUGUCCUUCGUAGCUUUCUUUUUUGGAAAGUCUCUUCCUCGCGGUACGGUGGGGGGGGGUGUCUGUAGAGGAACAUGUGGAGGAAGGCAUCUUUAGAUUCAGCAAAGAGAGGGGGACGGCCGAAGAGUCACAUUUGCCUUGUGCAGUAUCUUUUUGUGGGCCUUGCGUGGGCGCCUUCUGCUUUGACCGCAUUGGUGAGGGACAUGUCGCUAGGAAUAAAAAAAAAGAAAACGAACCUCGUUACCCAAUGGCCUGGUGCGCGGAAGCCGAGCGUCACGAAGGCAAAAAGGUGUUCACGGUGCACGACAGCGCGUACAGCUGAACAGGCGAUAAGGGCUUGAACGAAAGUCAAAAGAAAAAGAAUAGAUGGCACUGAAAGCGGAACGAAAAGAAAGAGCGGUGAGGUAGUUUGGUAUGGCCAACACAAACUCAAAGACAGCAAACUUCUCAUGCAGGCGCCGUGUAGCGUCGCCUUCGGUUUGCUGUCGCACAGGAAAACAAGAGGUCACGCUAUCACCUCUCCAGCACUGCUGCAGCAUCUGUUUCGGGAUCAGUAUCGGUUGCAACACGCACGC
This 4120-nucleotide unclassified non-coding RNA is filed under the name Leishmania donovani. RNAcentral describes it as "gene:LdHU3.36.1310(CDS-product:hypothetical_prote in)". Lineage: Eukaryota; Euglenozoa; Kinetoplastea; Trypanosomatida; Trypanosomatidae. The record is from RNAcentral.